GGCCUGUAGUUUAGCCAUAGAACAUCAGCUUUGCAUGCAGAAGGUCCCAGGUUCUCCACCCCUGGCAACUCCAAACAGGCCU
This is a non-coding RNA of Podarcis lilfordi (Lilford's wall lizard), 82 nucleotides long. The record is from the annotation of a GenBank genome assembly. Lineage: Eukaryota; Metazoa; Chordata; Lepidosauria; Squamata; Lacertidae.